UAAUACGUAGGGGGCAAACGUUGCUCGGAAUUACUGGGCGUAAAGGGUGUGUAGGUGGCUGAGCAAGUCAUUGAUGAAAUCCCGAGGCUCAACCUCGGAAUGGUCUUUGAAACUGCGCAGCUUGAGGAUAUUUGAGGAAAACGGAAUUCCCGGUGGAGCGGUGAAAUGCGUAGAUAUCGGGAGGAACACCAGAGGCGAAGGCGGUUUUCUGGAAUAUUCCUGACACUGAAACACGAAAGCUAGGGGAGCAAACGGGAUUAGAUACCCCGGUAGUCCUAGCUGUAAACGAUGGGUACUAGAUGUUUCCGUGUUAUGCGGGAGUGUCGAAGUUAACGCGUUAAGUACCCCGCCUGGGGAGUACGGUCGCAAGGCUG
RNAcentral lists this ribosomal RNA (374 nucleotides) under uncultured bacterium. Its description in RNAcentral is "bacterial SSU rRNA". It matches the Rfam family "Bacterial small subunit ribosomal RNA", at positions 521 to 896 of the family's 1533-position model. The record is from RNAcentral.